This 775-nucleotide ribosomal RNA is filed under the name uncultured Neocallimastigales. RNAcentral describes it as "partial large subunit ribosomal RNA". It matches the Rfam family "Eukaryotic large subunit ribosomal RNA", at positions 23 to 621 of the family's 3401-position model. The record is from RNAcentral. Lineage: Eukaryota; Fungi; Neocallimastigomycota; Neocallimastigomycetes; Neocallimastigales.
GAGACUCUGUGCGCGUGCAUAUCAAUAAGCGGAGGAAAAGAAACUAACAAGGAUUCCCCUAGUAACGGCGAGUGAAGCGGGAAGAGCUCAAAUUUGAAAUCUUCAAGGGUUUCCCUUGACGAAUUGUAGUUUAAAGAAGUGUUUUCUGUUAGAGAGGUGGUAAAAGUUCUUUGGAAUAGGACAUCAUAGAGGGUGAGAAUCCCGUAUUUGACCAUUAUUUCCAACUUUGUGAUACACUUUCAAAGAGGCGGAUUGUUUGGGAAUGCAGUCCAAAAUGGGUGGUAAAUUUCAUCUAAAGCUAAAUACUGGCGAGAGACCGAUAGCGAACAAGUACCGUGAGGGAAAGAUGAAAAGAACUUUGAAAAGAGAGUUAAACAGUACGUGAAAUUGUCAAAAGGGAAGCGUUUGACACCAGUGUUGUUUUCUCGAAAAUCAAUUACGAAUGGGUUGAUUUUAGAGUUAUGACUUCAUCAGCUUUCUGCUUUCUUUACUGUACUUUCUUAAUGCACUUUUCGUUUAACAAGUCAACAUCAAUUUCUUUUGUUGUAAAAGAGUCAUUGGAAGGUGGCUUUCUUUUCGGAGAAAGUGUUUAUAGCCUUUGACUCCUGCAAUCGGAGAGACUGAGGUCUGCAGCGUAGAUCCUUUCGGGAUUAGAUUACAUUUGUGCUAAGUAUAGCUUUUCAUAGACAACUUGUUGACUAUGAUUUAGUCAUUGUAGCUUACUCGCUUAUGCUAUUUUACCUACGCUUAGGAUGUUGAACUCUAUCACACACAG